This 140-nucleotide small nucleolar RNA is filed under the name Ornithorhynchus anatinus (platypus). The record is from RNAcentral. Lineage: Eukaryota; Metazoa; Chordata; Mammalia; Monotremata; Ornithorhynchidae.
CCCCUCUCGGGGUCGCACCUGGAGAGUUUCCAGUACUCUACCAGUCUUGACUACGGGAGGGAGAGUCAAGCAGAGGCCUAUCCAUUCCAUUCCUAGCUUGGACACAGUGGCUAGGGAGUGGGAUGCAAUCUGCUACAAGU